AAAUCUCAAGUUUUUCAUGGAACUUGCUAAGUUCAGUCUAAAAUACAUAUGUAAAAGCAACAAUUGAUUUUGAUGCACUAGAUACCAGAUUUACUAUAAAACUCAUAAUUAAAGAUACUAUGGAAUUUAUUAGCACAGGGACAGCUAACCAACUGAAUAUCUAGAAAGCCCAAAACCAGAUUCAUACACAUAGAUAUGCAAGUUGCAUGUGGCUAUACAGGCUCUGCAUUGCACAACUUUUAGGGGUGUCUGUAUCACCUCAUUCUUAGUCAUCAUUUGUCAAAUCUUUUAAUGUUUUCCCUCAUAUCACUGCUAUAGUCUAAAUUUUUGUGUUUCUCCAAAGUUCAUAUGCCUAAACGCUGAAAGAAGGGAGGAAGCAUACCAUGUGGCCACCUAAUGAUAGAACAUAUAAGGUAAAUGCACCAAUCAGUGCUCUGUGUCUAGCUAAUCUAGCGGGGACUUGAAGAAAGUUGUGUCUAGCUAAAGGAUUGUAAAUGCACCAGUCAGCACCCUGUGUCUAGCUCAAGGUUUGUAAACGCACCAAUCAGUGCUCUGUGUCUAG
RNAcentral lists this long non-coding RNA (562 nucleotides) under Pan troglodytes (chimpanzee). Its description in RNAcentral is "long non-coding RNA NONPTRT012582". The record is from RNAcentral. Lineage: Eukaryota; Metazoa; Chordata; Mammalia; Primates; Hominidae.